This 493-nucleotide ribosomal RNA is filed under the name uncultured bacterium. RNAcentral's name for it is "partial 16S ribosomal RNA". It matches the Rfam family "Bacterial small subunit ribosomal RNA", at positions 29 to 507 of the family's 1533-position model. The record is from RNAcentral.
AACGAACGCUGGCGGCGCGUCUUAAACAUGCAAGUCGAACGGCAGGAAGGGGCUUGCCCCUUCUGAGAGUGGCGGACUGGUGAGUAACACGUGGGUGACAUACCCUUUAGUUGGGGAUAGCUAUUAGAAAUAGUAGGUAAUACCGAAUGUGACCGUACCUGUUAGAGGGGUACGAGGAAAGGAGCUAAGGCUUCGCUAAAAGAAUGGCUCGCGGCCCAUUAUGCUCGUUGGUGAGGUAACGGCCCACCAAGGCGAUGAUGGGUAUCCGGCCUGAGAGGGUGAACGGACACAUUGGGACUGAGAUACGGCCCAGACUUCUACGGGAGGCAGCAGUUAAGAAUAUUCCGCAAUGGACGAAAGUGUGACGGAGCGACGCCGCGUGGAUGAAGAAGGCCGAAAGGUUGUAAAAUCUUUUUAAGCCUGAUGAAUAAGCACAGUAGGGAAUGAUUGUGCGGUGACCGUAGGGCUUGAAUAAGCACCGGCUAAUUACGUG